GUACAAGGGAAGAAGGAUGGUCGUUCUCCACGUCCCAUAACCUGAGCAGUCAGGUUUAUAACGAAGAUGUACAUAGUCCUGUAGCAUUUUUUUUCCCUUAGCCUUCUCGUGCUGUCUCGUGCUUCGUAGACCCCACCAAGUGCUUUGGAUCUGAAGGCUUGAGAGAGAGAUGGGAGUAACUCUCUGUGAUUCACAGUGACUUGCUGUUCUUGGCCGCUUGUUUCAUGUACUGCCUGGAACCGCCAUUAACUGCAACCAACGUUUUGUCUGUGCAGUUCCUGCGCAAUUUGGAAACCAUGAACUCUUUAGGAAUGGCAGGAAUAUUUGCCCUGAGCUAACAUCUGUGCCAGUCUUCCUCUGUUUUGUGUGUGGGUCGCCACCAAAGCUUGGCCGCCAGCAAGUGAUAAGAAGAAGAUUAGCCCUGAGCUAACUACUGCCAAUCCUCCUCUUUUUGCUGAGGAAGACUGGCCCUGAGCUAACAGCCAUGCCCAUCUUCCUCUACUUUAUACGUGAGACGCCUACCACAGCAUGGCUUUUGCCAAGUGGUGCCAUAUCCGCACCCGGGAUCCACAUCGGUGAACCCCAGGCCGCCAAGCGGAACUUGCGAACUUAACCACUGCACCACCGGGCCAGCCCCUGACUGCCCUUUCUUCCAUGCUGAUUUCCUUUUAGGAGUGAAAGCCACGCACAACAGUAAAGCUGAGGCGGGAGAAGCAGCUCAGUCAUAACAUACUGACUUCCAUCCUCCUCCUUCCUGCAUCCGGACUCCACCCUGUUGAGUUACAUCCCCCUCAAUUAGAAGCCAUGCCUGUGCAGCUCAGGAAAUGGAGUAAGUGCAAGGUAGAAACAUCCCCCAACUAAAACUGAGCUUGCUUUCUCCUUUCUCUUCCCAAGGACAUGCCAAGUUUGCAAUAUAAGGGAGCUUGGGACAACCGUCUACUCCCAAGCUGGUUCUAACCAUGGAGCUUUAAGAAUACUUAUAUAUAGUAUGGCAGCGUUUAACAAAAGACCAACCCUGAAAUGUGUGGAGGGAAGAGACCAGAUUCUACAAGCACUUGGAGUUAAAGCAAGACUUGAAUCCAAGAAAGGGUCCAUCCAUUGAGGCCUUAAGUGGGAUCUGGGUAUUUACACUCCCUUUAUUUCGCCUCACCCACCCAUCCACUCAAUUAAAAAGCACCAUCCUUAGGCAAAUCUAGACUCAACUAUGCUUAAAACUAUCCCUUGCUUAUUAGCCCACAGAGUGGGUCAUGUGAGACAGACUUGCAGCUCCAUGGUACACUUUCCCUGCCCCUGGAUUUCUGCAUCUCCAGGCCAGAAAAAGUUAACCCGACAGUUAAAGAGCACAAACUCCACUUUUAUCCACAGAGAUGUCCUUUGACCAGGCAAAAGCACAGAAUCAUUGAAGAAGCUAUACUAUGUUUGAUUCUGAAAAAAGAUUUGGUACUCAAGCCCAAAGAGAUGGAAAACUAGGAAAUGAGAAAUUGAGUUUCAAGUUAGAGAAAGAGAACACUUACAGAUUAUUUAAGGGCAUAAAUUCCAAAACGCCCCACCCCAACCUCCUGAGAAGGCUUUCAAUAGGAUGGGAAGCUGAAAGCUGCUUUUCCCGACCAGCUAACCCACCACUCCCUGCAACAGGCAAACAGUAGGCAAGGUAAUGUAUUAGUAAAACAUUGAAGCCCAAAGUCUUGGUGUAAAUUUAGAUUUUUAAUUUUUCACUUGUACUAAAAAUUGAUUUGUCUGCCCUUCUGCCAUCUGUACAAACAUUCAUGCAGCACCUAGAAGAAAGUACUUAGGUAUCCCUCUUCCCAUUAAACUCUUCAAAUGAAACUCAUUUUGCUUUCUUCUUCCAAGGUACCAUCUUUCUCCAUUAGUACAGGCUCAAAACUCUUCAUUUUUUGUUUAGUUUUUAUUUCAUAAUCAUAAACUUAGCUCUGCAGUGCACCUGGAUUUGGAAGGGAAUAAGAACAUGGAACCCAAAGAGCUGCAGUGAGAGUACAAAGAUUAUAGGAUAUAGUGAGCAGAUGAGGGUGGUAGAUGCUCUCCUGAGCUGCAGAAGGAAUGAUCUAGAGGUUAAGAUAAAACAUGUCAAAUUUACUGGAGUUGUCCAUAGUCAGCAAUAGUUAGCCUCUUGAUGGUCCUGCCAUUCCUGGACUAAAGCACUCCAUGGCUUCCUCUUCUGCCCUACCAAAGACCACGUUUGCCAUCCAACUACUCAGUCUUGGCACUGCAGAUGAAAACAGUUCUGGGAACCAUUUGUGUUGGGUCCAGCGUUUGCAAUGAACAAGAAACUGGGACCACAUGCUUCGGGAUGAAACUCUCAUCAUCAAGUUUCUCCCUGCAGGUGGGCUUGCUGCCGGUGCCAUUAUGGCAUGUGAAGUCACCACUCUGGAACAUAAACCCUGGAAUAAGUCUGUGACAGCGGGAAACUUUAUAACUAAAUCCUUUCUCCCCACUGCUCAAGAGCAUGAAAGUUUUCUGCUGCCUUUGGAACUGUGUCUGCAAACAGCUCAAAAGAGACGGCCUGAGGGCUCGCCAUGGACAUCAAUGUCGGAAGAACACUGGGGUUGACCAUAGCUCGGUGGCACUGACAGCAGUGUCUGCAAAGCCAAACAUUCUUCAUUCUUUAAUCCAAAUUGCUUCUCCUCCCUGAAAAGAAAUCUAUUUUAUUUAUGCCUUUAUCUCCACAAGCAAGGACUUUACCCUAAAUAAGACUAUCACUUUUCUUUCAGAUUACUGAGUCUUGUUCUCUUUGAAUUUAACCUUCCCUUCCUGCCCCCAGACCGUCCUGCCUGCCUACCACUGUUGUCUUCGUCAGAUAUUGCUUUCAGCUUGAGACUCCGCUGAGCAUUACCCUACAGGGUACCUAUGUGGACAUCUAGGCUCAUCCUAGAUCUGGACCUUUCCAGCCCUGGGUUUGGGCAGACCUGCAGUCAAGGAUGAUAGUAUGUGAGAACACUUAGCGUAGUUCCUGGCACAUAGCAGGCAAUGUUAGCUUCUUUUUCCUCUUUUUAUCAAGUUAGGUUCUUUACUGCCCCAAAGACUACCAAGUCUUUGAGUUCAUAUCUGACUCAGAAAUUAUUCUCCCUCUGAGAAACAUAUUCACUCCAAUUUUCUGCCUCUCUAAACCUAUCAAACAUAAACAUUCAAAUUCUACCUUCAAAUUUUAAAACAAUCUUGAAAGUC
RNAcentral lists this long non-coding RNA (3183 nucleotides) under Equus asinus (donkey). Its description in RNAcentral is "lncRNA (ENSEASG00005031747.1)". The record is from RNAcentral. Lineage: Eukaryota; Metazoa; Chordata; Mammalia; Perissodactyla; Equidae.